AAUGAACGUUGGCGGCGUGGAUUAGGCAUGCAAGUCGAGCGAGAAACCCCGCAAGGGGUGGACAGCGGCGUAAGGGAGAGGAACACGUGGAUCAUCUGCCCUCAGGUCCGGGAUAGCUGCGGGAAACUGCAGGUAAUACCGGAUAACAUCUCCGGAUCAAAGGUGUGAUUCCGCCUGAGGAUGAGUCCGCGUCCUAUUAGCUAGUUGGUGGGGUAAUGGCCUACCAAGGCAAUGAUGGGUACCGGGUGUGAGAGCACGACCCGGCUCACUGGGACUGAGACACUGCCCAGACACCUACGGGUGGCUGCAGUCGAGGAUCUUCGGCAAUGGGCGCAAGCCUGACCGAGCGACGCCGCGUGUGGGAUGAAGGCCUUCGGGUUGUAAACCACUGUCAGAGGGGAUGAAAUGCGUAGGGGUUCUCUCCUACGUUUGACAUAGCCUCAGAGGAAGUACGGGCUAAGUUCGUGCCAGCCGCCGCAGUAACAC
This 486-nucleotide ribosomal RNA is filed under the name uncultured bacterium. RNAcentral's name for it is "bacterial SSU rRNA". It matches the Rfam family "Bacterial small subunit ribosomal RNA", at positions 29 to 526 of the family's 1533-position model. The record is from RNAcentral.